Molecule: ribosomal RNA, 253 nt
Filed under: uncultured bacterium
Lineage: Bacteria
Description: partial 16S ribosomal RNA
Rfam family: Bacterial small subunit ribosomal RNA
Source: RNAcentral
UACGUAGGGGGCGAGCGUUGUCCGGAAUCAUUGGGCGUAAAGCGCGCGUAGGCGGUUUGUUAAGUCAGAGGUGAAAUCCUGCAGCUCAACUGCAGAACUGCCUUUGAAACUGACAGGCUAGAGUUUGGUAGGGGGGAGUAGAAUUCCUGGUGUAGCGGUGAAAUGCGCAGAUAUCAGGAGGAAUACCCGUGGCGAAGGCGGCUCCCUGGACCAUAACUGACGCUGAGGUGCGAAAGCUAGAGUAGCAAACAGG